RNAcentral lists this long non-coding RNA (375 nucleotides) under Pan paniscus (pygmy chimpanzee). Its description in RNAcentral is "lncRNA (ENSPPAG00000045503.1)". The record is from RNAcentral. Lineage: Eukaryota; Metazoa; Chordata; Mammalia; Primates; Hominidae.
GGGCACCUCAAACUCAACUCCAAAAUUGAUCUAAUGAACUUUCCCAAACCACAUUCCCUUCUUGCAUUUCUGAGAGAAUGGAUUCCCAUUCAUCUGACUACAGUGCUAUCCUGAAAGCAGAUCCAGAGACUUAGAUUUCACAUGCAGAUGAUUCAUUCGCAAGGUAAGCUGUCAUCAGUUGGAGGUAAGCGGAAGACAGUAGAGAGUACAGAGCCCUGGACUGUGACUCAGAGGAUGAGCACCAGAUCCAGUUUGCUGUGCCACAGUGGUAAGUCACCUAACCUUUAUGUGCUUGGAUUCCUCAUAUGUAAUACAGGAUCACAACUAUUGUUCUCACUCAUGCAAUACUACUAUUGUGAGAACCUCAUGAAUUAG